AAAAAGUUACGCCACGUCAGCUGCCCUGACCAACUAGGACGCGCCAGAUGGCAGAGACGCUGACGCGGGAGGCCACUGGAGGGGACAUGUGGGCGAUCCGCGUGUACGCGAUCGAACAGCUGAGAUCCUUUUCCGCACGCAAGGACGACCCAGAUAAAAAAUGCGCACGGACGGCCCAGAUUGCAUUGCGCACGGACGUCACAGAUUAAAUCGCGCACAGACGACCCCAGCUUGAAUUGCGAUGAACGGCCCAGAUUAAAAGCGGAUGAGUAUAAAUAAUCUCGUUCGCACCCAAACCCUAAUCCUAGUCGCCAGAACCCCUCGACGGAGAAGACAGCCCAGCCGCCGGGGAGCUAAUCGCCGUCACCCGUUGCCGUACCAGAGCAAUUCCCGAUCGCUAAACGAGGUAAAAAUUUCUCUUUUUUCACGAAAUUCAAUUUUAAACGCACUCAUGGCCAAAUCAGAGUGAAAGAAU
This 475-nucleotide long non-coding RNA is filed under the name Carica papaya (papaya). Its description in RNAcentral is "long non-coding RNA (CPAP_LNC003957)". The record is from RNAcentral. Lineage: Eukaryota; Viridiplantae; Streptophyta; Magnoliopsida; Brassicales; Caricaceae.